UUUGGCACAUCAUAUUGUCCCAUAUUCUCCCCUUUCGUUUGGCACAGAUCCCAUCAGAACUCCGCAGUUACGUGUGCUUGGGUGAGAGUAAUACUAGGAUGGGUGACCUCCUGAGAAGUCCUUGUGUUGCACCCC
This is a non-coding RNA of Gossypium arboreum, 135 nucleotides long. The record is from Rfam. NCBI's taxonomy places the organism in Eukaryota, Viridiplantae, Streptophyta, Magnoliopsida, Malvales, Malvaceae.